RNAcentral lists this ribosomal RNA (253 nucleotides) under uncultured bacterium. RNAcentral describes it as "partial 16S ribosomal RNA". It matches the Rfam family "Bacterial small subunit ribosomal RNA", at positions 524 to 776 of the family's 1533-position model. The record is from RNAcentral.
UACGGGGGGGGCAAGCGUUGUUCGGAAUUACUGGGCGUAAAGGGUUCGUAGGUGGCCUGCUAAGUCAGACGUGAAAUCCCUCAGCUUAACUGGGGAACUGCGUCUGAGACUGGCGGGCUUGAGUGCAGGAGAGGAACGCGGAAUUCCAGGUGUAGCGGUGAAAUGCGUAGAUAUCUGGAGGAACACCGGUGGCGAAGGCGGCAUCCUGGACCGGCAUUGACGCUGAGGCGCGAAAGCCAGGGGAGCAAACGGG